Puccinia graminis f. sp. tritici is the source of this 81-nucleotide transfer RNA. It matches the Rfam family "tRNA". Rfam says of the family: Transfer RNA (tRNA) molecules are approximately 80 nucleotides in length. Their secondary structure includes four short double-helical elements and three loops (D, anti-codon, and T loops). The record is from Rfam. Lineage: Eukaryota; Fungi; Basidiomycota; Pucciniomycetes; Pucciniales; Pucciniaceae.
GACUCCAUGGCGCAAUGGUAGCGCGUUCGACUCCAGGAUCGGUUCAUCGAAAGGUUGCGUGUUCAAGUCACGUUGGGGUCA